This 119-nucleotide ribosomal RNA is filed under the name Triticum aestivum (bread wheat). The record is from RNAcentral. Lineage: Eukaryota; Viridiplantae; Streptophyta; Magnoliopsida; Poales; Poaceae.
GGAUGCAAUCAUACCAGCACUAAAGGACCGGAUCCCAUCAGAACUCCGAAGUUAAGCGUGCUUGGGCGAGAGUAGUACUAGGAUGGGUGACCUCCUGGGAAGUCCUCGUGUUGCAUUCC